RNAcentral lists this ribosomal RNA (467 nucleotides) under uncultured bacterium. RNAcentral's name for it is "partial 16S ribosomal RNA". It matches the Rfam family "Bacterial small subunit ribosomal RNA", at positions 29 to 507 of the family's 1533-position model. The record is from RNAcentral.
ACGAACGCUGGCGGCGUGCUUAACCCCUGCAAGUCGAACGGAAAGGCCCUGCUUUUGUGGGGUGCUCGAGUGGCGAACGGGUGAGUAACACGUGAGUAACCUGCCCUUGACUUUGGGAUAACUUCAGGAAACUGGGGCUAAUACCGGAUAGGAGCUCCUGCUGCAUGGUGGGGGUUGGAAAGUUUCGGCGGUUGGGGAUGGACUCGCGGCUUAUCAGCUUGUUGGUGGGGUAGUGGCUUACCAAGGCUUUGACGGGUAGCCGGCCUGAGAGGGUGACCGGCCACAUUGGGACUGAGAUACGGCCCAGACUCCUACGGGAGGCAGCAGUGGGGAAUAUUGCACAAUGGGCGGAAGCCUGAUGCAGCAACGCCGCGUGCGGGAUGACGGCCUUCGGGCUGUAAACCGCUUUCGCCUGUGACGAAGCGUGAGUGACGGUAAUGGGUAAAGAAGCACCGGCUAACUACGUG